GUGAGUCAUCGAAUCUUUGAACGCACAUUGCGCCCUUUGGCAGUCCGAAGGGCAUGCCUGUUCGAGCGUCAUUAUCAACCCUCAAGCUUGGCUUGCUAUUGGACCUUCGUCGUUAAAGACGGAUCCCAAAGAUAAUGACAGAGUCAUGUUGGACCCUUGAUGCAACGAGCUUUCUAAGCACGCAUUAUAGUGGCCAAAAGGCUCCCGUCUCAACCCCUAUUUUAUCAGGUUGACCUCGAAUCAGGUAGGAAUACCCGCUGAACUUAAGCAUAUCAAUAAGCGGAGGA
RNAcentral lists this unclassified non-coding RNA (287 nucleotides) under Chaetothyriales sp. RNAcentral's name for it is "partial contains 5.8S ribosomal RNA, internal transcribed spacer 2, and large subunit ribosomal RNA". The stretch from base 1 to 71 matches the Rfam family "5.8S ribosomal RNA", at positions 84 to 154 of the family's 154-position model. The record is from RNAcentral. Lineage: Eukaryota; Fungi; Ascomycota; Eurotiomycetes; Chaetothyriales.